Molecule: ribosomal RNA, 483 nt
Filed under: uncultured bacterium
Lineage: Bacteria
Description: partial 16S ribosomal RNA
Rfam family: Bacterial small subunit ribosomal RNA
Source: RNAcentral
AUUGAACGCUGGCGGCAGGCCUAACACAUGCAAGUCGAGCGGAUGAAGGGAGCUUGCUCCUGGAUUCAGCGGCGGACGGGUGAGUAAUGCCUGGAAUCUGCCUGGUAGUGGGGGAUAACGUCCGGAAACGGGCGCUAAUACCGCAUACGUCCUGAGGGAGGAAGUGGGGGAUCUUCGGACCUCACGCUAUCAGAUGAGCCUAGGUCGGAUUAGCUAGUUGGUGGGGUAAAGGCCUACCAAGGCGACGAUCCGUAACUGGUCUGAGAGGAUGAUCAGUCACACUGGAACUGAGACACGGUCCAGACUCCUACGGGAGGCAGCAGUGGGGAAUAUUGGACAAUGGGCGAAAGCCUGAUCCAGCCAUGCCGCGUGUGUGAAGAAGGUCUUCGGAUUGUAAAGCACUUUAAGUUGGGAGGAAGGGCAGUAAGUUAAUACCUUGCUGUUUUGACGUUACCAACAGAAUAAGCACCGGCUAACUUCGUG